RNAcentral lists this ribosomal RNA (425 nucleotides) under uncultured bacterium. RNAcentral's name for it is "partial 16S ribosomal RNA". It matches the Rfam family "Bacterial small subunit ribosomal RNA", at positions 354 to 796 of the family's 1533-position model. The record is from RNAcentral.
GUGGGGAAUAUUGGACAAUGGGCGCAAGCCUGAUCCAGCCAUGCCGCGUGAGUGAUGAAGGCCUUAGGGUUGUAAAGCUCUUUCGUCAGGGAAGAUAAUGACGGUACCUGAAGAAGAAGCCCCGGCUAACUUCGUUCCAGCAGCCGCGGUAAUACGAAGGGGGCUAGCGUUGCUCGGAAUCACUGGGCGUAAAGCGCACGUAGGCGGCUUUCUAAGUCAGGGGUGAAAUCCUGGAGCUCAACUCCAGAACUGCUUUUGAUACUGGAGAGCUUGAGUUCGGGAGAGGUGAGUGGAACUGCUAGUGUAGAGGUGAAAUUCGUAGAUAGUCGCAAGAACACCAGUGGCGAAGGCGGCUCACUGGCCCGAUACUGACGCUGAGGUGCGAAAGCGUGGGGAGCAAACAGGAUUAGAUACCCUAGUAGUCC